UACGUAAGGUCCGAGCGUUGUCCGGAAUCAUUGGGCGUAAAGGGUACGUAGGCGGCCAAACAAGUUAGAAGUGAAAUCCUAUAGCUCAACUAUAGUAAGCUUUUAAAACUAUUUGGCUUGAGAUAUGGAAGGGAAAGUGGAAUUCCUAGUGUAGCGGUGAAAUGCGCAGAUAUUAGGAGGAAUACCGGUGGCGAAGGCGACUUUCUGGCCAUGAUCUGACGCUGAGGUACGAAAGCGUGGGGAGCGAAUGGG
This 252-nucleotide ribosomal RNA is filed under the name uncultured bacterium. RNAcentral describes it as "partial 16S ribosomal RNA". It matches the Rfam family "Bacterial small subunit ribosomal RNA", at positions 524 to 776 of the family's 1533-position model. The record is from RNAcentral.